GAUGAACGCUGGCGGCGUGCCUAAUACAUGCAAGUCGAGCGAACGGACGAGAAGCUUGCUUCUCUGAUGUUAGCGGCGGACGGGUGAGUAACACGUGGAUAACCUACCUAUAAGACUGGGAUAACUUCGGGAAACCGGGGCUAAUACCGGAUAAUAUUUUGAACCGCAUGGUUCAAAAGUGGAAGACGGUCUUGCUGUCACUUAUAGAUGGAUCCGCGCUGCAUUAGCUAGUUGGUAAGGUAACGGCUUACCAAGGCAACGAUGCAUAGCCGACCUGAGAGGGUGAUCGGCCACACUGGAACUGAGACACGGUCCAGACUCCUACGGGAGGCAGCAGUAGGGAAUCUUCCGCAAUGGGCGAAAGCCUGACGGAGCAACGCCGCGUGAGUGAUGAAGGUCUUCGGAUCGUAAAACUCUGUUAUUAGGGAAGAACAUAUGUGUAAGUAACUGUGCACAUCUUGACGGUACCUAAUCAGAAAGCCACGGCUAACUACGUG
Molecule: ribosomal RNA, 497 nt
Filed under: uncultured bacterium
Lineage: Bacteria
Description: partial 16S ribosomal RNA
Rfam family: Bacterial small subunit ribosomal RNA
Source: RNAcentral